GGUUGUGGCUCAGUGGUAGGGUGCUUGCCUAGCAUGUGUGAGUCCCUGGGUUUGAUCCUCAGCACCA
Molecule: transfer RNA, 67 nt
Filed under: Marmota monax (woodchuck)
Lineage: Eukaryota; Metazoa; Chordata; Mammalia; Rodentia; Sciuridae
Description: tRNA.Ala
Source: RNAcentral